GGACCAGCUCAGACCUCAUAUUAGUGAUAAAUGAUGUUUGUGUCAGCAGGUCGGCGAGGAACCCUAACGUUCCUUCAGCAGGUCGGCGAGGAACCCUAACGUUCCUUCAGCAGGUCGGCGAGGAACCCUAACGUUCCUUCAGCAGGUCGGCGAGGAACCCCAACGUUCCUUCAGCAGGUCGGCGAGGAACCCUAACGUUCCUUCAGCAGGUCGGCGAGGAACCCCAACGUUCCUUCAGCAGGUCGGCGAGGAACCCUAACGUUCCUUCAGCAGGUCGGCGAGGAACCCCAACGUUCCUUCAGCAGGUCGGCGAGGAACCCUAACGUUCCUUCAGCAGGUCGGCGAGGAACCCCAACGUUCCUUCAGCAGGUCGGCGAGGAACCCCAACGUUCCUUCAGCAGGUCGGCGAGGAACCCCAACGUUCCUUCAGCAGGUCGGCGAGGAACCCUAACGUUCCUUCAGCAGGUCGGCGAGGAACCCUAACGUUCCUUCAGCAGGUCGGCGAGGAACACUAACGUUCCUUCAGCAGGUCGGCGAGGAACCCUAACGUUCCUUCAGCAGGUCGGCGAGGAACACUAACGUUCCUUCAGAAGGUCGGCGAGGAACACUAACGUUCCUUCAGAAGGUUGGUGAGGAACACUAACGUUCCUUCAGAAGGUCGGCGAGGAACACUAACGUUCCUUCAGCAGGUCGGCGAGGAACCCUAACGUUCCUUCAGAAGGUUGGUGAGGAACCCUAACGUUCCUUCAGAAGGUUGGUGAGGAACCCUAACGUUCCUUCAGAAGGUCGGCGAGGAACACUAAUGUUCCUUCAGAAGGUCGGUGAGGAACACUAACGUUCCUUCAGAAGGUUGGUGAGGAACCCUAACGUUCCUUCAGAAGGUCGGCGAGGAACACUAACGUUCCUUCAGAAGGUUGGCGAGGAACACUAACGUUCCUUCAGCAGGUCGGCGAGGAACAUUAACGUUCCUUCAGAAGGUCGGCGAGGAACCCUAACGUUCCUUCAGCAGGUCGGCGAGGAACCCUAACGUUCCUUCAGAAGGUCGGUGAGGAACACUAACGUUCCUUCAGAAGGUCGGUGAGGAACCCUAACGUUCCUUCAGCAGGUCGGCGAGGAACCCUAACGUUCCUUCAGAAGGUUGGCGAGGAACCCUAACGUUCCUUCAGAAGGUUGGCGAGGAACCCUAACGUUCCUUCAGAAGGUCGGCGAGGAACACUAACGUUCCUUCAGAAGGUCGGCGAGGAACACUAACGUUCCUUCAGAAGGUUGGUGAGGAACCCUAACGUUCCUUCAGCAGGUCGGCGAGGAACCCUAAUGUUCCUUCAGAAGGUCGGCGAGGAAACCUAACCCUUCUUACCCUCUCUGAGGCGCUGGCGAGUCUGGUGGCCGAGGCGUUGAAGGUGAGGGCUGCUAGAGGACUAUCAUGAGCAGGAAUCACAGUG
Long non-coding RNA from Acanthochromis polyacanthus (spiny chromis), 1442 nucleotides. RefSeq lists it as uncharacterized. NCBI's taxonomy places the organism in Eukaryota, Metazoa, Chordata, Actinopteri, Pomacentridae. The transcript has 15 exons. The record is from RefSeq and is a predicted model, not a curated record.